This 459-nucleotide ribosomal RNA is filed under the name Salmonella enterica. RNAcentral describes it as "bacterial SSU rRNA". It matches the Rfam family "Bacterial small subunit ribosomal RNA", at positions 1 to 456 of the family's 1533-position model. Lineage: Bacteria; Pseudomonadati; Pseudomonadota; Gammaproteobacteria; Enterobacterales; Enterobacteriaceae. The record is from RNAcentral. RNAcentral also lists the same sequence under 1 other name.
AAAUUGAAGAGUUUGAUCAUGGCUCAGAUUGAACGCUGGCGGCAGGCCUAACACAUGCAAGUCGAACGGUAACAGGAAGCAGCUUGCUGCUUUGCUGACGAGUGGCGGACGGGUGAGUAAUGUCUGGGAAACUGCCUGAUGGAGGGGGAUAACUACUGGAAACGGUGGCUAAUACCGCAUAACGUCGCAAGACCAAAGAGGGGGACCUUCGGGCCUCUUGCCAUCAGAUGUACCCAGAUGGGAUUAGCUUGUUGGUGAGGUAACGGCUCACCAAGGCGACGAUCCCUAGCUGGUCUGAGAGGAUGACCAGCCACACUGGAACUGAGACACGGUCCAGACUCCUACGGGAGGCAGCAGUGGGGAAUAUUGCACAAUGGGCGCAAGCCUGAUGCAGCCAUGCCGCGUGUAUGAAGAAGGCCUUCGGGUUGUAAAGUACUUUCAGCGGGGAGGAAGGUGUUG